AGUCAAGCAACUAAGCGCAUACGGUGGAUGCCUUGGCAGUCAGAGGCGAUGAAAGACGUGGAAGCCUGCGAUAAGGCUCGGGGAGCUGGCAAACAAGCGAUGAUCCGGGCAUCUCUGAAUGGGGAAACCCACCGACUUUCGGGUCGGUACCGUACAGUGAAUCCAUAGCUGUGCGGGGCGAACUCGGGGAACUGAAACAUCUAAGUACCCGAAGGAAAAGAAAUCAACCGAGAUUCCCUCAGUAGCGGCGAGCGAACGGGGACCAGCCCUUAAGCUGAACAACUGGUAGGAGAAGGCUCUGGAAAGUGCCGCCAUAGUGGGUGAUAGCCCCGUAUCCGAAACCUGAGUUCAGUGAAAUCGAGUAGGUCGAUGCACGAGAAACAUUGACUGAACAUGGGGGGACCAUCCUCCAAGGCUAAAUACUCCUGACUGACCGAUAGUGAACCAGUACCGUGAGGGAAAGGCGAAAAGAACCCCUGUGAGGGGAGUGAAAUAGACCCUGAAACCGUAUGCGUACAAGCAGUCGGAGCGGAUUUAUUCCGUGACGGCGUACCUUUUGUAUAAUGGGUCAGCGACUUAUGUUUAGUGGCGAGGUUAACCGUUUAGGGGAGCCGUAGGGAAACCGAGUCUGAAUAGGGCGAAUUAGUCGCUAGGCAUAGACCCGAAACCGGGCGAUCUAUCCAUGAGCAGGUUGAAGGUGCCGUAACAGGCACUGGAGGACCGAACCCACUGUCGUUGAAAAGCCAGGGGAUGACUUGUGGAUCGGAGUGAAAGGCUAAUCAAGCCCGGAGAUAGCUGGUUCUCCCCGAAAGCUAUUUAGGUAGCGCCUCGGACGAAUACCACAGGGGGUAGAGCACUGUUUCGGCUAGGGGGCCAUCUCGGCUUACCAACCCGAUGCAAACUCCGAAUACCUGUGAGUACUAUCCGGGAGACACACGGCGGGUGCUAACGUCCGUCGUGAAGAGGGAAACAACCCAGACCGCCAGCUAAGGUCCCAAAGUACCAGUUAAGUGGGAAACGAUGUGGGAAGGCUCAGACAGCUAGGAGGUUGGCUUAGAAGCAGCCAUCCUUUAAAGAAAGCGUAAUAGCUCACUAGUCGAGUCGGCCUGCGCGGAAGAUGUAACGGGGCUCAAACUGGUCACCGAAGCUGCGGCUGCAUACUUUGUAUGCGGGGUAGGGGAGCGUUCUGUAAGCCUGCGAAGGUGUGUUGAGAAGCAUGCUGGAGGUAUCAGAAGUGCGAAUGCUGACAUGAGUAACGAUAAUGGGAGUGAAAAACUCCCACGCCGGAAGACCAAGGUUUCCUGCGCAACGCUAAUCGGCGCAGGGUGAGUCGGCCCCUAAGGCGAGACCGAAAGGUGUAGUCGAUGGGAAACGGGUUAAUAUUCCCGUACCUUGGAUAGCUGCGAUGGAGAGACGGAGAAGGCUAGGUGAGCCGGGCGACGGUUGUCCCGGUUUAAGCAAGUAGGCAGUGGACUUAGGCAAAUCCGGGUCCACAAUGCCGAGAUGCGACGACGAUUGCCCACGGGCGAGAAGUCAUUGAUGCCAUGCUUCCAGGAAAAUCUUCUAAGCUUCAGGCUAUUCAAGACCGUACCCCAAACCGACACAGGUGGUCAGGUAGAGAAUACCAAGGCGCUUGAGAGAACUCGGGUAAAGGAACUAGGCAAAAUGGUGCCGUAACUUCGGGAGAAGGCACGCUGGUUGUAUGUGAAACCCCUGCGGGUGGAGCAGAAGCCAGUCGAAGAUACCAGGCCCCUGCGACUGUUUAUUAAAAACACAGCACUCUGCAAACACGAAAGUGGACGUAUAGGGUGUGACGCCUGCCCGGUGCCGGAAGGUUAAUUGAUGGGGUUAG
Molecule: non-coding RNA, 1852 nt
Organism: Marinobacter sp. T13-3
Lineage: Bacteria; Pseudomonadati; Pseudomonadota; Gammaproteobacteria; Pseudomonadales; Marinobacteraceae
Source: Rfam